Chelonus insularis is the source of this 423-nucleotide long non-coding RNA. RefSeq lists it as uncharacterized. The transcript is spliced from 2 exons. The record is from RefSeq and is a predicted model, not a curated record. NCBI's taxonomy places the organism in Eukaryota, Metazoa, Arthropoda, Insecta, Hymenoptera, Braconidae.
AAAAGUAUUUAAACCCAAACACAAUUCACUGAGUUGUCAGUCAUCUCUUGAGACAUCAGAAACUUUGCUGAGAAUAGUUCAGAAAAUAAUUCCUAACAAAACAAACAUGAAAGCUGUGAUUUUCGCUCUUGUUGUUAUGUUGGCAGCUGUUCAGGGCCAAUAUUGGAAUCCAUAUGGACAACCAGCUAUUGGAGGCUAUGCUCCUCCACCAAUGGUGUACCCACAUCCAAUGCAACCCAUGAUGCCUGCCUCCAGCAAUGAUAAUUCCAAUUCCAACGCUAAUACUAAUGUUAAUGCAGCAUCUGGACGUUGGUUUUAAACCUCAUAAUGUUAUUCAAUAAAUGGUGGUGAUGUUAAUGAUGAUGGUUAUAUAAUUGGGUUAUUGUGAUUGAAUAAAAAUAAAAUUAAACAAGUUAACAUAUA